RNAcentral lists this non-coding RNA (21 nucleotides) under Caenorhabditis elegans. Lineage: Eukaryota; Metazoa; Nematoda; Chromadorea; Rhabditida; Rhabditidae. The record is from RNAcentral.
UAUAAGAAACCUGUCCACUCA